GGAACAUUAGCCAAUCUGCUCAGCGCAGCCAUUGCCGGCAUGUUUAUAUAAACGAUAAAAGCUCCUUGCGUCAGU
Molecule: transfer RNA, 75 nt
Filed under: Bacillus subtilis subsp. subtilis str. BSP1
Lineage: Bacteria; Bacillati; Bacillota; Bacilli; Caryophanales; Bacillaceae
Description: tRNA-Asn
Source: RNAcentral